GAUGAACGCUGGCGGCGUGCCUAAUACAUGCAAGUCGAGCGAACUGACGAGAAGCUUGCUUCUCUGAUGUUAGCGGCGGACGGGUGAGUAACACGUGGAUAACCUACCUAUAAGACUGGGAUAACUUCGGGAAACCGGAGCUAAUACCGGUUAAUAUUUUGAACCGCAUGGUUCAAAAGUGAAAGACGGUCUUGCUGUCACUUAUAGAUGGAUCCGCGCUGCAUUAGCUAGUUGGUAAGGUAACGGCUUACCAAGGCAACGAUGCAUAGCCGACCUGAGAGGGUGAUCGGCCACACUGGAACUGAGACACGGUCCAGACUCCUACGGGAGGCAGCAGUAGGGAAUCUUCCGCAAUGGGCGAAAGCCUGACGGAGCAACGCCGCGUGAGUGAUGAAGGUCUUCGGAUCGUAAAACUCUGUUAUUAGGGAAGAACAUAUGUGUAAGUAACUGUGCACAUCUUGACGGUACCUAAUCAGAAAGCCACGGCUAACUACGUG
This 497-nucleotide ribosomal RNA is filed under the name uncultured bacterium. RNAcentral's name for it is "partial 16S ribosomal RNA". It matches the Rfam family "Bacterial small subunit ribosomal RNA", at positions 28 to 507 of the family's 1533-position model. The record is from RNAcentral.